This 383-nucleotide long non-coding RNA is filed under the name Ananas comosus (pineapple). RNAcentral's name for it is "long non-coding RNA (ACOM_LNC029745)". Lineage: Eukaryota; Viridiplantae; Streptophyta; Magnoliopsida; Poales; Bromeliaceae. The record is from RNAcentral.
AGGAAUAGAACAGAAAACAUUACAGAGGAAGGAGGCAGAGUUUCAGCAGCCUCUUCCAAUUUUUCUUCUGAGAUGGAUGGCUCAACAGGGCCUUCCGAUUGAGUCUUACUUGGGAAAGGAGCUACAAAUGAAAAACAAAUAAGUAGCAGUAAUUAUAAGCAGGAAAUUAAUUUCAAAAGAAAUAACGUACUGAGAGGAUGACGAGUCUUGCGAUGUGCAUGCGAGAUGACAGGGGCAAAGGUUUUCUUAAGAAAGAUAUCCCAAUUUAUAGCAUAGCGAAAACCCAACACCCCCGUAUAAUUCGGCCUAAAGCUGACCAAUUUGAAAAAUCGCCACAGACGAAUUUCCAUAGCCGAAAUCUGAUCGGCGUCAGCUAUACUCUU